RNAcentral lists this ribosomal RNA (497 nucleotides) under uncultured bacterium. RNAcentral's name for it is "partial 16S ribosomal RNA". It matches the Rfam family "Bacterial small subunit ribosomal RNA", at positions 28 to 507 of the family's 1533-position model. The record is from RNAcentral.
GACGAACGCUGGCGGCGUGCCUAAUACAUGCAAGUUGAGCGCUGAAGGUUGGUACUUGUACCAACUGGAUGAGCAGCGAACGGGUGAGUAACGCGUGGGGAAUCUGCCUUUGAGCGGGGGACAACAUUUGGAAACGAAUGCUAAUACCGCAUAAAAACUUUAAACACAAGUUUUAAGUUUGAAAGAUGCAAUUGCAUCACUCAAAGAUGAUCCCGCGUUGUAUUAGCUAGUUGGUGAGGUAAAGGCUCACCAAGGCGAUGAUACAUAGCCGACCUGAGACGGUGAUCGGCCACAUUGGGACUGAGACACGGCCCAAACUCCUACGGGAGGCAGCAGUAGGGAAUCUUCGGCAAUGGACGAAAGUCUGACCGAGCAACGCCGCGUGAGUGAAGAAGGUUUUCGGAUCGUAAAACUCUGUUGGUAGAGAAGAACGUUGGUGAGAGUGGAAAGCUCAUCAAGUGACGGUAACUACCCAGAAAGGGACGGCUAACUACGUG